GGUGGGUUGGCCGAGUGGUUUAAGGCGCUGGUCUCGAAAACCAGUUGGGGAGAAAUCCUCUCAGAGGUUCAAAUCCUCUACCCACCA
RNAcentral lists this transfer RNA (87 nucleotides) under Candidatus Giovannonibacteria bacterium RIFCSPHIGHO2_01_FULL_43_100. RNAcentral's name for it is "tRNA-Ser". It matches the Rfam family "tRNA". Rfam says of the family: Transfer RNA (tRNA) molecules are approximately 80 nucleotides in length. Their secondary structure includes four short double-helical elements and three loops (D, anti-codon, and T loops). Further hydrogen bonds mediate the characteristic L-shaped molecular structure. tRNAs have two regions of fundamental functional importance: the anti-codon, which is responsible for specific mRNA codon recognition, and the 3' end, to which the tRNAs corresponding amino acid is attached (by aminoacyl-tRNA synthetases). tRNAs cope with the degeneracy of the genetic code in two manners: having more than one tRNA (with a specific anti-codon) for a particular amino acid; and 'wobble' base-pairing, i.e. permitting non-standard base-pairing at the 3rd anti-codon position. RNAcentral also lists the same sequence under 5 other names. The record is from RNAcentral. Lineage: Bacteria; Candidatus Giovannoniibacteriota.